AAAAAGACAAACCCUGGAUUUCUAUUUCCAACGUUAAACUAUAUGAAAUUUUUUAUAAUUAGUAUUUUCAUUGUUGUUAGAUAAUAAAACAUGAUUAAUACAUUAUGCGUGACUUGUCUUUUUAAUUUUUUUCAUAAAUUUUUCAAAUAAGAUGGAUGGUUAAACGUUGGAUACGGAAACCCAGG
RNAcentral lists this microRNA precursor (185 nucleotides) under Oryza glumipatula. RNAcentral's name for it is "MIR812 microRNA precursor family". It matches the Rfam family "MIR812 microRNA precursor family". The record is from Rfam by way of RNAcentral. Lineage: Eukaryota; Viridiplantae; Streptophyta; Magnoliopsida; Poales; Poaceae.